GGUGGCUCAGUGGUAAAGCACUUGCCUUGCAUGCAUGAGGCCCUGGGUUCCAUUCCUCAGCACCA
RNAcentral lists this transfer RNA (65 nucleotides) under Dipodomys ordii (Ord's kangaroo rat). It matches the Rfam family "tRNA". From Rfam's summary of the family: Transfer RNA (tRNA) molecules are approximately 80 nucleotides in length. Their secondary structure includes four short double-helical elements and three loops (D, anti-codon, and T loops). Further hydrogen bonds mediate the characteristic L-shaped molecular structure. tRNAs have two regions of fundamental functional importance: the anti-codon, which is responsible for specific mRNA codon recognition, and the 3' end, to which the tRNAs corresponding amino acid is attached (by aminoacyl-tRNA synthetases). tRNAs cope with the degeneracy of the genetic code in two manners: having more than one tRNA (with a specific anti-codon) for a particular amino acid; and 'wobble' base-pairing, i.e. permitting non-standard base-pairing at the 3rd anti-codon position. The record is from Rfam by way of RNAcentral. Lineage: Eukaryota; Metazoa; Chordata; Mammalia; Rodentia; Heteromyidae.